GAUGCAAAUGAUGGGAAUUGCGAUCAAAGCAUGAAAAUAAUGUGAUUACGCUUUUUUAAAACUGAUGCAUC
Danio rerio (zebrafish) is the source of this 71-nucleotide non-coding RNA. NCBI's taxonomy places the organism in Eukaryota, Metazoa, Chordata, Actinopteri, Cypriniformes, Danionidae. The record is from Rfam.